Molecule: long non-coding RNA, 4841 nt
Organism: Bombyx mori (domestic silkworm)
Lineage: Eukaryota; Metazoa; Arthropoda; Insecta; Lepidoptera; Bombycidae
Exons: 3
Source: RefSeq, a predicted model, not a curated record
UGAAGUUGAUUACUUUGAGUCUUUAAUCAAAUGGGAUGAAAUUAAAUAAAACGAGAUGAGAUGAAAUUAAAUAAAAUCUCAGUAAAACGGUGGUUAUGAAAUUUUACCAGUGGACUUUUCGGAAGAAUCUGAGAAGCUACGUCCAGCGGCUUUGUUUAAUUUUCCCACAUUUGUGUACUUUCAUAGAUGCUCAAUGUUGGAUGGUUAAAAUUGAGGGGACUGGCUUUUGUAGGUGAGGGGCUAUUUAAAAACACCCUGCUUCAUGGUUAAUACAAUUAUAUGGCAAAGACUUUGUACACUAUUACACCAUUACAAUAUUUUAUUUUUAUAAAACCCUAAGAUGUUGCACUGUCCGUGUCUAGAUGAGAAGUCCUAGUCAUAACUGAAGAGAAGACAAUAAUCUGUUUUAAACAUUUAAAUAAACAUUCCAAUAUUCGAAAACUAUUACUUCACAUGUGACAAGUGUUGCCUGCCAUUCCUAUGGAGGUAAGGAGAACGGUCUCAGUGUGUAAAAAGUGUCCGAUAAAAUCUGCUAAAUAAGGGUGGUGCUACAGUAGCAACCGGGUAAAUUUAAAAAAAGGCGCUGAAAGUUAUUAGAAUAAGAUAGAGAAAUAAAAAGGAUGAAAGAACUGUGGGCACUACAAAAUCAAAAAAGUCUUUUUUUUAAAGCUGAUAAGAAAGUGCAAUCGAUGUCUCCACGUUUUACCAGAAAAAUAAUUUUAGGUUAUAUUGACGAAAUUAGUCUGAACUACGUAAACGUGUGAGGUCUUGUGUAUUACAUUGUCAGUAACUACUCUAGUCAUUAAAUAUAUUAAAUUUCCUAACUCAGCAUACUUCUAUCAGUUAACAACUGCUCAAUUCAUAUCAUACCCUGUGCCUAUGCUAGCGCCAUUCUGGAGGAUUUUUAAAUUGUUAUUUAGUGCUGAAAGUGGGACACUUUUUCAAAGUUCUCCCAUAUGAGACGAUUCUCCUUACCUCUACCCUCCAUAGCCAUUAGGUACUUACAUAUUCAAACUUCAACACUCAAUAGUUAAUAAGCCACAAAUAUUACUUACACAUUUAAACCAGAAUUGAUUUAAAAUCAAUAAGUAGAUACAUAUAUAUUAAUAAAAUAUAACAAUUCACACCACUUCGCUCCACACGCUCCUGCCAAAAAGUCCAGAUAAGGAAGUCCAAAUGUAAGAGGCCUUUCCAGAUUCACCAGGACGGGUGGGCGAGCAAGGGCUUAGCUACGAGGGGUGGGAUUUGCUAACAGCUGCCCGAGCGCCUCCAAAGGAGACCUAACAACUCAAGAAUUCCUGCUUCUCGAAUGAAUAUAUUAGUGGAUCGGAAUCGCGACCCGCUGAGAAGAUCCGGCGAGAAACUCAGCGGGCUGAUGCUUAGGUUAUGUUGCAUGUCGAACUCUUUGCCGAGUUUGACGAGUACGGUUACCGGGGUCCCUAGUCCUAGUGUUAGAACUGAAGGCGUCUAAUGCAAGGGUUAUUGGAUCUGAUGGAUCCGUAUGGACGUGCUUAGGGCGUUGACGGUGACUAGCUCCUGCUCCGUGAUCAGGUUUCCUAGAGUAGUCAGCGGCUGCAACGAUAAAGCGAUUAUCUUAUCGAAGUACCGUUCCGACGCUGACUUCAUGUAUUUCCGAAUUGAUUCGAGGUCCAGGUCGUCGUGUAGGUCAACGUUCCUCACGAACCACGGAGCUCCGAUGGCUUUGUUAUACACUGCAUUGAUCGACAAGAAUAUAUUUUAUAAGUCUUAACCAUGGAUAAUUCACUAAAUAUUUUAAACUGGUUAUAACAGUGUUUCUAGUAACUACCUUCAUGCUUUGAGUUGAAAAUAGAAGUCUUUCAAGGCUAUCAAUAAAAUCAACAAAAACGAUAUUCGAGUCAUAAUAAAUAAAAUAAAAAUAUAGGCUAAAGUAGUAUCAAUAAAGCCCAUAAUGGCAAUAUUUAAGGACAAUGAAAGGACAAACAUAUUUCAUUACUAUACUAUAUACUUGACUUGUAACUAUAAUUGAGACCUUAGAACUUAUAUCUCAAGGUGGGUGGCGCAUUUACGUUGUAGAUGUCUAUGGGCUCCAGUAACCACUUAACACCAGGUGGGCUGUGAGCUCGUCCACUCAUCUAAACAAUAAAAAAAAAUAAAAAAAAACUGUUUUUUGGUGUAGCAGUAACUAUCUUAGAACAUCAUUAUUGUAAUAUUUUUUAUAAAAGCCUGAAUUAAUAAAAGUUAUACGCAAACAACAUUCAGGUCACCAGUCUACCCAGCAACGUUUGCUCAGUGGAAGACCCACCCUUUGUCGUUUCCUCCAAAUGUAUUUCCAUAUUUUUUUAAACACUAUGUUUUGAAUAUGUAAAUAGUAUUUUUUGAUACAUAUUAGAAACAAUUUAAGUUACGGCCAUCUCUUGACCAGCUGCACACUGUCUGUCCGCCCUCUGUAUGCCCUUUGGAAUAGGAACCCUUAAAUUGACAAUUUAAGAUACAGAUCAUAUAUAUUCUUGUAUACUUUAUAUAUUAGUGUACCAUUUCUAGAAGUAUACACAAUAAUAUUGGGAGUCUUCUUAAUUUUGUUAAUUAAUAAUUUAAUAUUAAGAUCAAAUAAUAAUGAAAACAAGUGAAUAAUUCUAUAAUUUUUUUAUUUUGUUAAAUCACUUACAGACCAUAGGUCUUACAAAAUAAACUAUUGUUAUAACUUAAAUUAGAAAAUAUAUCAACUUAAUAUUAAACAAUAAUUCAAGAAAUUAGAUCACGAUUAGUGGUCAAUAAUAACAAAGCUGUACGAGAAAAAUGCAAUUAAUAAAGAUAUUUUUUGUUUAUUUUUCAUUUCCUUUUUUUUUUAAAUCACAAUUUAUUUGAAAUACAAUUCGCCUUCUAAAACGAAGGCAUUAAACUUUUUUUUUUCUUAUUUUAAAAACUUAUAACGAAAAUUCUUGUGAAAAACGCAAGUAAUGAGUAAUAAGUACAAUACCAGUGGAUAAUCAAUAAUAUAAAAAAUCUGCAUAAGAGUUAAAAAAUGCUUAAAGAAUAAUUUGAACUUUGAAACUAUUUCUGAUUUAACUUUAGGUACAUACGUACAACAUCAUUGACACAAACAAAACUAAGUCAUACAUACAGUACAUAAAGAUAUCCGUUGUCGAUAUUAGAAAUCAAUUUCAACACAUGGAAUGCGACCAUUUUGUUUGACUGCCGACUGGCUGGCUUAGAGCGCGUGGACUGCGAUACCCCGGCUGACUCUUGUUAAUCAAUCGGCUAUGGACGAAUACUUAUUUCAUAUAAAAAUGCACUUUUCAUUAUUCUGACUAGACCGCACACACACUUGUUAGCCCUCCUGUCACCGUCACACCGGGCUGUCACACUGACACUGACAAGCAAAUGUCGAUUGUUUUCACAAUUGAAUGUCUAAGGGCCUUCUGGACCGCUUCGUCGCGGGCUCCCAAUCUUUGAAUAGCAAAUUCGUCAGGAUCGGCGAUCGAUUGUGGGUUGUAGUUUUCAUUUGACGAUCAGACCGGGGUUCUUUUGGUACUCCAUCGGGAGGAAGAUGUGCAUCAGUUUCUCGAUUUCGCCUCUGCACAACGGACAGCGGUUGCAUCUGUAAACAAAUAACAAAAUCACAAUUAUAAAUACGAUUCAAAAAACUUCUUUAUUUCAACACGUCAUAUUCAUCAAAUUUUGAAUGUGUAAAACUUAAUAUAUCAAUAUAGUAAUCUGUGAUGUGAACUGAAACAAUUCUCGUAUCUCUAAAUAUGAGAUAUUUUUACCUUUAUCUUUUCCUCGGAUAAGUUCAUUCUGAACUAAUGAGUUAUUGUAUGUAAUGGAGAGAGUCUUGUAUUAAAAUAUUCCUUUGAUUUUAAUAAUGUUUUAAAUAUUUACUAAAUCAACGUAUAGAUGUCGCUAUCAUCAAGUUUUAACAUAUCAGCUGAACUUAUGUUAUAUUAAUGGACUUCAUAAGCUAUUGUAGAAGCAGCAGUCAAUAGUUUAUCUUAAUAUUAUUAGUAAUUUUUGAUUGCUUAGACAUGGUUCUUAAGUUAGUUAGUUACCUAGGAGCGCACUGUCCGCAGCAGACCACGUGUCGACACGGCAGGAACAGCGAGUCGAUGGGCUCGUCCAUGCACACGCGACACGCCAGCGCCUCACCGCCGCCGCCGCUACUGCUGCUGCUGCUGCUCGAUCUUGAACGGGUUUUCUGUGACAACAAGGAGGAAAUCGCCGGUCUUCCGCCCUUCACUGGGGAUGGAGGGCGGGGCAUGUCGGAGUCGAACCGACUAAAACCUGUCGCUCAACAAUCAGCAUCCAAACCUCGCAUGAGACAGAGCUCAUGAAAAGGCAAAAGGGGGAAAGUGAAGCGUUUAGUGCGGAGCCCUCCCUCUCCCAUCACCCUCUCCCUCGGGUCGCCGGACUGGCGGUCGUCGGCGCCACGACCACCAGCCCUCUCGGUCGGCAGGCUGUCCGAAGCCCGCCUAGAUGGCGCCGGUUAGAAUGGUCUAUCCUACGGAAUACCCCGCUGGGUCAGAACCAGCGUGGGUUGAGGAUAGCCGGCCUUCCAUCACCCGGAUGAAUUUCGAUUUACGUCAAAAAUGUUCUUAAUGAGUGACUACAUCGCAAAAGGAAUAUUUCUAUAUGCCAAAUUCAUAGUCGCUUCCGAGAUCUGUUGAUGUGUAAAUGGUAUAUUAUAUAGCUUUAUUAAAUGUAUGUACAUAUUAUAAUAUAGAUUGCUUGUAAAUGGUUUGCAAGCAUGAUGUGAUUAUGACAAUAUCGUGAUCAAGCGCAGCGUUUAACAUUUUACGUAAACAAUACGAAACACGGUAAACAAACAAAAACGUGAAUAAACCAUUUAAUGUUUUUUUUUCGUU